This 352-nucleotide ribosomal RNA is filed under the name uncultured bacterium. RNAcentral describes it as "bacterial SSU rRNA". It matches the Rfam family "Bacterial small subunit ribosomal RNA", at positions 29 to 403 of the family's 1533-position model. The record is from RNAcentral.
AGCGAACGCUGGCGGCAGGCCUAACACAUGCAAGUCGAACGAACCCUUCGGGUUAGUGGCAGACGGGUGAGUAACACGUGGGAACGUGCCUUUUGGUUCGGAACAACUCAGGGAAACUUGAGCUAAUACCGGAUGUGCCCUUCGGGGAAGGAAUUAUCGCCAUUAGAGCGGCCCGCGUCUGAUUAGCUAGUUGGUGAGGUAAAGGACUCACCAAGGCUUCGAUCAGUAGCUGGUCUGAGAGGAUGAUCAGCCACACUGGGACGUGAGACACGGCCCACGACUCCUACCGGGAGGGCAGCAGUGGGGAAGUCUUGCGCAAUGGGCGAAAGACCUGACGCAGCCAUGCCGCGUG